Molecule: long non-coding RNA, 1938 nt
Organism: Betta splendens (Siamese fighting fish)
Lineage: Eukaryota; Metazoa; Chordata; Actinopteri; Anabantiformes; Osphronemidae
Source: Ensembl
AUGGACGUAAUGACGGUGGAGGACAGGACAGCGAUCUCAGCUCUGAAACAUAAUCCCAAUAUCAUCAUAAAACCAGCGGAUAAAGGAUCAAAAAUUGUCAUCAUGGAUUCACAACAAUAUGCACUGGAGGCACGGAGACAGUUGAACAACACAAAAUACUACAAACCUAUUGCCAACAGCAUACAAAGCCAGACUCAGUCACGUGCUAGACAUAUUAUACAAAGUUUGUAUACAAACCACUUUAUUUCUGCCAAACAGAGAGACUUUCUCUUUGGACCGGAUCCACCUCGCAAUAGACUUUUUUACCUACUCCCCAAAAUUCACAAGGACCCACUUACCUGGACAGUUCCACACAUCAUCCCUCCCGGCAGACCCAUUGUGUCGGACUGCGACAGUGCCACAUACAAUAUAUCAAAGUAUAUUGAUUUUUUCUUGGGCCCCCUUGCCUGCAGACAUCCCAGCUAUUUGAAAGACACCUACCACUUUCUAAAUAGGAUACGGCCCAUGAUUUUGCCACACAAUGUCAUACUCUUCACCAUUGACAUUGAUAGUUUAUACACAAACAUUAACACAGAGAUGGGCUUGAGAGCGAUACAGCGAGUGUUUGAUCAAUAUCCGGACCCGAACAGACCAGAUGUGGAAUUGAUGUCACUUCUGAAAUUAUGUCUGAAAAACAAUGAUUUUGAAUUUGAUGGCCAGCAAUACUUACAGGUGGAGGGUACAGCCAUGGGUCACAGAUAUGCCCCUUCCUAUGCAAACAUUUAUAUGAGUGAGUGGGAACGGGAGGCACUACAGAAAUGCCCAUUGAAACCCACUUUUUAUUUUCGAUUUCUGGAUGACAUCAUUGGAGCCUGGAGCCAUGGACGGGAGAACUUUCAAACUUUUUUUGAAACCUUAAACAACCAUCAUCCCUCCAUUAAAUGCAAAUAUGACCUGCAAUCCGAUGAAAUUAAUUUUUUAGACACUACAAUAUUCUUUGAAUCCAUUGAUACAGACAAUAAAAGAUUACUGUCCCGGGUUUACUUUAAACCCACAGAUACUCAUGCACUACUUCAUAAGGCCAGUUAUCAUCCCAAACACACGUUCAAAGGCAUAAUCAAAUCACAGAUCAUCCGCUUUCAUAGAAUAUCUUCCAGAGAGACAGACCUGAACCAGGCCAUUUCCACACUGUUCUGCAGCCUCAGAACACGCGGCUACUCCAGGAGGUUUCUCAGGGCCAUCAAAACAAACACACUGGCAUCUAUCAACAACCCCUCUCCGUCUCUCCCCUCUCCUCACCGACUGACUCCUUUGCUGCCUCCUCCUCCUCCCCACAGCCGAGAAGGCAGACCUCGAGAUGGGAGACAAGACAGGAAGAUGGAGAACCUCAUCCCCCUGGUCACAACUUACUCUAAACCUUACCUUAAUCUGCAGAGCAUCUGGAAAGAAAACUUUCACACUACCAUGACGGGUCACAGGUUAUUCCACAACCACAAGAUAAUCUCAGCUUUUCGGAGAAACAAAAACCUGAGAGACCUGUUGACUCAAGCAAAGUUCUGCAGAUACAAAAGUACAAGUGAUGACGACACACAUUGGGCCUUCAGGCAGGUAAAGUUUUUAUUCAACAGACAUAGCGGUGCUGGUAUAGCAGUCAAUGGCAGAUUCAACUUGAAUAGCUUCAAUCUGGUUUACUGCAUUGUUUGUCAGACCUGUGGAAAGAUGUAUGUGGGUGAGACAGGAAAAACACUUCUCACCAGAUUGAAACAGCACAUCCACAACAUUCAAGUGGCAAAGCUGAAUUCUCUCCUGGUCCAACACUUCCAGCUUCAUCCCCUUCACAGCCUCACCAUAUCAGGCAUUCAAACCUGUGCUACAUGGACAACUGGACAGAGGAGGAGACAUGAGUCAUCAUGGAUCAAUAAAUUACUGACCAGGACCCCUCUGGGACUAAACAGUUGA